Molecule: ribosomal RNA, 497 nt
Filed under: uncultured bacterium
Lineage: Bacteria
Description: partial 16S ribosomal RNA
Rfam family: Bacterial small subunit ribosomal RNA
Source: RNAcentral
GAUGAACGCUGGCGGCGUGCCUAAUACAUGCAAGUCGAGCGAACAGACGAGGAGCUUGCUCCUCUGACGUUAGCGGCGGACGGGUGAGUAAAACGUGGAUAACCUACCUAUAAGACUGGGAUAACUUCGGGAAACCGGAGCUAAUACCGGAUAAUAUAUUGAACCGCAUGGUUCAAUAGUGAAAGACGGUUUUGCUGUCACUUAUAGAUGGAUCCGCGCCGCAUUAGCUAGUUGGUAAGGUAACGGCUUACCAAGGCAACGAUGCGUAGCCGACCUGAGAGGGUGAUCGGCCACACUGGAACUGAGACACGGUCCAGACUCCUACGGGAGGCAGCAGUAGGGAAUCUUCCGCAAUGGGCGAAAGCCUGACGGAGCAACGCCGCGUGAGUGAUGAAGGUCUUCGGAUCGUAAAACUCUGUUAUUAGGGAAGAACAAAUGUGUAAGUAACUAUGCACGUCUUGUCGGUACCUAAUCAGAAAGCCACGGCUAACUACGUG